CUCACCAUCUGCAGCCUCUCAGAGGAGAAACUGGUUGUCUUUAGCCUCUCAGAAAAGGAAUUCACAGUCUCUAGCAUCUCAGGGGACAAACUUAUCAUCCUGAGCCUCUCAGAGAAGAAACUUACUGUUUCCAGCCUCCUAGACAGAAACUUGCUGUCUCCAGCCUCUCAGAGGAGAAACGGUCACCAGCCUCUUAGAAGAAGAAAACCUUGCUGUCUCCAGCCUCUUGGAAAAAAACGGCCAUCUCCAGCCUCUGAGAAGAGGACCUCAUUGUCUUCAGCCUCUCAGAAAAAGAACUCACCAACUCCAUCCUCUGAGAGGAAGAACUCACCAUAUCCAGCCAAUCACAGAGACUCACACUCCCCAGCCUCUCAGAGGAGAGACUCACUGUCUUCGCCUCUCAGAGAAAAAACUCACUGUCUCCAGCCUCUCAGAAAAAAAAAAAAGACUUGCCAUCUCCAGCCUCUCAGGAGAAACUCAUUGUCUCCAGCCUUUCAGAGGAGAGAGUCACCAUGUCCAGUUUCUCAGAGGAGGAGCUCACUGUCUUCAGCCUCUCAAAGUAGGGCUUUGCCAUCUCCUGCUACUCAGAGAAGAAGCUCCCCACCUCCAGCCUCUCAGUGGAGACAGUGGGGUUACAAUGGCAUAGCAUUGCCCCAACCCCCAAAAGAAAUAGUAUCGAAGUCCAAUGUAAACCUAUUAAUUACGUGGCUGUGCUACAAUCAAAACAUAGAUCUCUGACGUCAGCCUUAUUGUUCUUCAUUGUGUUGAUCAAGAAGUGCCCUAGCCCUCAAGUCCUCCUCACUCGAAGCCUAUGGACUCCUAAUUUGCACACAAGUCUAACAAGCCACAUCAUCUUGUUUUUCAGUUCACAGCACUGUGAAACAGGAGACAUUAGAGGCAAGCAUUGAUAGCAGUAAAAAGGGCAACCAUUAGGAAAGAGUCAGAAUAUUAACAAACAACUGUCAGAAAUGGAAGUCAAAUAGUCCAGGACUAAUCUAAGGGCAGAUAUUACCAUAUACAAUAAGCCAUUGGGAUGUCUCUAGAUUUCAGCAUAGUUCAUUAGUUUAUGCCCAAAACAGUGACUUAAAUCUUCCUCCCAAAAAGAUGAACUUGUGAUUAUUGUUCAAUAUAAAAUGUAAUACAUUAAAAAAUAUAAGACUUUUUUUUGAGACAGAGUCUCACUCUGUCACCAAGGCUGGAGUGCAAUGGUGAGAUCUCGGCUUACUGCAACUUC
Molecule: long non-coding RNA, 1234 nt
Filed under: Pan paniscus (pygmy chimpanzee)
Lineage: Eukaryota; Metazoa; Chordata; Mammalia; Primates; Hominidae
Description: lncRNA (ENSPPAG00000044579.1)
Source: RNAcentral